RNAcentral lists this transfer RNA (67 nucleotides) under Pseudopus apodus (scheltopusik). Its description in RNAcentral is "tRNA-Cys". Lineage: Eukaryota; Metazoa; Chordata; Lepidosauria; Squamata; Anguidae. The record is from RNAcentral.
AAGCCCCGGAGAUCCUAAAUCUCGACUCCAAGUUUGCAACUUGGCGUGUGGGCAACACCUCAGGACU